AUGAGUAAAGAUGACAUAUCAGCAGAUUCUCCACCAAGUAAAAAAUCACGCUUCAAGGAAACCCAGCCAGAAAAUACAGCUGUUGAAAAUGCAAAAGCGUCACCUUCUCAUGUAUCUUCUCGCCCAUCUCGAAAAACAAAAGAAGCUGCUGCCUUAUUCAUGGAAAUGCUCGGAAAAGAAUUUCGCUGUCCAAAUCAAAGCAAGAAGAAAAAAGAAGAUGACACAAUGUCUGUCGAAAGUUUUCCGGAACUUCCUUCAGCUAAAGAAAAUGAGCAAAUCGAAAAAGAAAUAAAGGAGCAAGCCAAAAAGGUAUUACUCACUUCUAAAAAACCUCUCAAGAAAAUUUCAACGUCUCCAAGCCAGAAGAAAAAAAAUGGAAACCUCAGGUCUCAGAAAGUUGAAACUCGCUCCAAGACUCUCCACAGAAAUACUUUGACAGUCGCAAAGAAGAAAAACCUUGCAAAAAUGAAGAAACAAUCAAAACCUCUAGGUUCAAAAAACAAAGGCAUGGUGAGGACCUUAUCUUUGAGAACAAAAGUAAUACCCAAGGCCAAGAAAGCAGAAAAAAAACCAGCAAAAUCUGGUUUGAGGCAACGCACUGCAAGCCUGGACGAUAUUGUCUCAGAUGCAUGUAAACUUGAACAGAACAAGAGCACUUCUAAACCGUUUAAACCUCUUCUAACAUGGCAUGAAACUUUCCUGAAGUCAGUUGCAGAAACAGUCAAAGGUGGCCGUCGAUCAACAUCAAGAAUGAGUGAAAGCACUGACUCAGUGAGUGCUAAGCAAGUGCAAAGCUCCUUCGAACUCGGAGUUGAAAAGCAAAUUAAUGAAAAAACAAUUGAAAAGACCUCAAAAAUAUUUAUCAAAGCAAAGAAAUCUGUCGGAGAAGAAGAAAAAGCAGUUUCAACUGAAAAUAAAGAAAAACUCAAAUCUUCAGCUCAGGAGGCAAAAAAGGCUAAAAGUAUAUCAAAAGGCAAAGAAACAUCUCAAGACAGCAACGACAGGCCCCAGUUAAUGGUGCCAGACAUGAAGAAGGUAUCUGAAGCGUCCAAGAGCAAAACAAAAGCCGAAGUUGAGGAAAAAGUUUCCAAGACUGAUAUAAUUUUGAAUGAACCUCGAAAAAUAGAAACAAGAAGGUCGGCUGACUCUCAUACGAAGGGUUUGAAGAACUGUCAUAUUACUUCAAAAAGUGUUAAUUUGUCUGUUCAAUCAGACAAAAAGAAACCAGUCGUAAAUAAUCCCCCCACUAAGUCCAAUGAUGCAGCUGAAAAAUCCAAAGUUGUAUCAAGAACGCAAAAAAUCAAAGAUUUAAAAGCAGACCCACUGAAGCCCAAUGAAGCUUUGAAACCUAUCACAAGAAAGCAUCCUUUAAUAAUAAGUGCUACAACCAGAACCACCCGUCUUUCUAAUUCUGCCACCAAAUUAGAUGAUUUACACGCAGGAAGUGUCGACCCAGUCAAAUCAAAAAAAUCAACUGACGAAACUUUUAAAAAGAGAGAGCUUCGAAACUCAGUGGAUUCAGAUGGACCUAUGAAAUGUAAAGUUGUUGCAGAUAAGACCCAUUGUUCUGUCGAUAAUCAGAAGAGUUUGCCCUCCACAGAAACUCCGAAGUUGAAGGAAAAUUCUGUAGCAGGCAAAAAACCUAUUUCCUCAAUUACUAAUAAAUUGAACACUUCAGCUCUAGGACAGAAAUCAAACACUUAUUCCACUGGUGGAAAAAAACCAAUUUCUAAAAUCUUAGAAGCGUUAGAAUCGUCUGAAGAUCCUCCCGUGAGGAAAAGCAAAGAGGAAAACGAAGAGUCUGAAAGCUCUGAAAACCCUUUUUUUUGGAGAUCCAAAUAAUCCAGCAAAUGAAAAUAAAUUUCAAAGGCCAGUAAAAGCACCCAACAAGUUAAUGAAGAAAAAAGUUUUGAAGUCAAAAGUCUGUCUCAAGAACAAGAGUUUAAAAAAAAGUUGUUAGAAAAUGGAAUAGCUUCGGCAAAAAAUGAAGCAAAUGUUCUGCAUGGAAUAACUUCUGAGCCUAUUGCUUUAGUAAAAUCUUCUCGUAAAAAUUCAAAAAAGAAAGGAACUCCGAAAAAGCGUCUUUCGGGAAUCCCGAAAGCAGCCUUGAAUCAAGACACGCCAAAAAGUGUUGAAAUCUGCACUUUAAAAUCGUAUGAUGAUCUGUUCAAUGAAAUGGCGGCAAAUUUUAGUUCCUGUCUGCCAGAAAAUCCUAUUCCAUCUCUUCCUAAUGAUAAAUUUCCUGUAGAUGUAGAUGUAGAUUUAGAUGAAAAUGUCAAAGGAUUUGAAGGGAAGAGGUUAUUUUCAUUUGAUCCCAUUCUUGAUUAUAAAUUGCUUGCCUUAAAUAUAAACAAAGAGAAUGAAUCUAAAAUCUCUGUUGUAAUGGAAUCUCAUGUUUUGCCACAAAACUCUGACAAAGAUUUUUUACAACUGUCCAUUUCAAAUAUGAAAGAAAAAGAUUUCAAAAAGAAGAUUGGCAUUAGCUGUUCAUCAGGCUGUGAUAUUUUAGAAAAAAAUGCCUAUCAGACCAAUGCUAUGAAAAAAGACGACAAUAGAGAAAACUUGAAGCAAGAUAUGACAGAGAAUAAAACAUUAAAAAUUGAUGUUAAAAAUAGUAGAGAGAAAUGUAUCAUUGAAAGAGGAGGUGUUCAAGAUCCCGUAGUGAAUUUGAACGUUUUUAAUCAAAAUGAUGGUGACGAUUGUAAUGAAUCAAACUCUACAAAAGAUAUGAGCCUUAAAAAAGAUUGCUCUGCUGCUCCAAAUACUUCUACCGUAGUGACUAUUCUGCACAAACCAGAUCUUUUAGAUUCAAAUGCUGUCCCAAAACUAAAAUGUAAUAAAAAUUCAGCUCAUUUGAACGAUUUGAAAAUUCAAAAUUUGAAAAAUGAAAGUGAAUUAAGGGAUGGCUUAAAAGAAAAAAUUUCAACCUUUCGCUUUCAAAGUAAAACUGAAAGCAAGCUUAAGGAUCAAGAAAGUGCAAAAGAAAACAGUGUAAUCAAAUCCCAAGAAAUAUUGCAAAUUCCCACUUCAAAUAUUUCUUUGAGAUCAAAAAGAAGUUUUGUGAAGUCGGGUGAUCAUGUUUUAAAGAGUGGAAGCACGAAGAAAAGUACAAAUUCCGUUUUUUGUAAAAAUGAUAUAGCUCAAAGCAAAAACACCACUGAACCUGUGUCAUCUCUAGUCCCAUCAACUAAAAGAAGCACUAAUAUUGUCGGCAAGUUUCAAAAGCAAUUA
RNAcentral lists this long non-coding RNA (3231 nucleotides) under Bemisia tabaci. RNAcentral's name for it is "lncRNA ENSSSA1UGG004766". Lineage: Eukaryota; Metazoa; Arthropoda; Insecta; Hemiptera; Aleyrodidae. The record is from RNAcentral.